RNAcentral lists this transfer RNA (66 nucleotides) under Neoneuromus maclachlani. RNAcentral's name for it is "tRNA-Asn". Lineage: Eukaryota; Metazoa; Arthropoda; Insecta; Megaloptera; Corydalidae. The record is from RNAcentral.
UUAAUCGAAACCAAAAAAGAGGUAUAUUACUGUUAAUAAUAUUAUUGAAAUAAUUUUCCGAUUAAA